ACGGGAGGCAGCAGUGGGGAAUAUUGCACAGUGGGGGAAACCCUGAUGCAGCGACGCCGCGUGGACGAUGAAGUAUUUCGGUAUGUAAAGUUCUAUCAGCAGGGAAGAUAAUGACGGUACCUGACUAAGAAGCACCGGCUAAAUACGUGCCAGCAGCCGCGGUAAUACGUAUGGUGCAAGCGUUAUCCGGAUUUACUGGGUGUAAAGGGCGCGUAGGCGGGGAGACAAGUCAGGUGUGAAAUCUAUGGGCUUAACCCAUAAACUGCAUUUGAAACUGUAUCUCUUGAGUGCUGGAGAGGUAGAUGGAAUUCCUUGUGUAGCGGUGAAAUGCGUAGAUAUAAGGAAGAACACCAGUGGCGAAGGCGAUCUACUGGACAGUAACUGACGCUGAGGCGCGAAAGCGUGGGGAGCAAACAGGAUUAGAUACCCUGGUA
Molecule: ribosomal RNA, 434 nt
Filed under: uncultured Lachnospiraceae bacterium
Lineage: Bacteria; Bacillati; Bacillota; Clostridia; Lachnospirales; Lachnospiraceae
Description: partial 16S ribosomal RNA
Rfam family: Bacterial small subunit ribosomal RNA
Source: RNAcentral